This 246-nucleotide ribosomal RNA is filed under the name uncultured bacterium. RNAcentral describes it as "partial 16S ribosomal RNA". It matches the Rfam family "Bacterial small subunit ribosomal RNA", at positions 64 to 339 of the family's 1533-position model. The record is from RNAcentral.
GAGCGACUCUUCGAGAGGAGCGGCGGACGGCUGAGUAACACGUUGGUAAUUGCCCCCCAUUCAGGGAUAAGCACGAGAAAUUGUGUCUAAUACCGGAUAGUCCCGCAAGGGUAAAGAUUUUUCGAUGGGGGAGAUGCCUACGGCCUAUCAGCUAGUUGGUAAGGUAACUGCUUACCAAGGCUAUGACGGGUAGCUGGUCUGAGAGGAUGACCAGCCAGAGGGAGACUGAGACACGGCUCCCACUCC